GGCUUUAGUCCACUUGAAACACUUUAUGGAUGCCAUUUUCUCACUAAUGAUUUUCUCUCCAACAGAGAGAUGCCUUACUGAAGGAUGUCACAUCACUGGCUAAAUUCCAACAGACUCUUCAACAUCUAAUGGAAGCUCAAUCUAAAGAAAAGGGAAAUCCCAUAUUCCACCUCAGAGACUUAAUACUGGUGAAGUCUCUUCCCUCAUCGUCCCCUUUCCUAGGACCAACUUGGGAAGGACCACACACUGUGACCCUGUCAACUCUAUCAGCUGUCAAGGGAGCAGGGCUGGACUCCUAGGUGCACCAUACCUGACUCAAGUCCUGGGAACCAGACAUGUCACUGAGUGUGAGCAAGCAUCAUCAGAAUACUCCUGUGAAGCUACAGAAGACUCAAGAUUCUUGUUCAAGAAAAAGCAAAGCCUUGAGAUAAGUAAUCUAAGAUGUUACUCUUAGCCCUUUUACUAAUCACUUUACCACUUAAGGGAGAAUGCAAUUCCUUUCUAAGGUGCACACAAGAAUAUCAGAGUCAUUACAGCAAACACCUCCUGGAUAUGUGACCUGCUCCCCUUGUCCAGUAAAUCUGGACUUCCUUGGUGGGUAUCCCUACUCCAAGGAGAUAACUGGAAUAAACUACAAGACUAUAUUGAUGAGUUACAAGAGUUCACUGGUGCAUAGUGUACCCCACCAUUACAAGUUAGAAUUAGCCCAAUUCAGUGUAAUGUCACAUGCAAAUCCUCUUUUCCAACUUUGGGAGGAGCUGAAGUGA
RNAcentral lists this long non-coding RNA (767 nucleotides) under Chinchilla lanigera (long-tailed chinchilla). Its description in RNAcentral is "lncRNA (ENSCLAG00000029306.1)". The record is from RNAcentral. Lineage: Eukaryota; Metazoa; Chordata; Mammalia; Rodentia; Chinchillidae.